UACGUAGGGGGCAAGCGUUAUCCGGAUUUACUGGGUGUAAAGGGGGCGCAGACGGCAAUGCAAGCCAGGAGUGAAAGCCCGGGGCCCAACCCCGGGACUGCUCUUGGAACUGCAUGGCUGGAGUACAGGAGGGGCAGGCGGAAUUCCUAGUGUAGCGGUGAAAUGCAUAGAUAUCACGCAGAACUCCGAUUGCGAAGGCAGCAUACCGGCGCGCAACUGACGCUCAUGCACGAAAGCGUGGGUAUCGAACAGG
Molecule: ribosomal RNA, 253 nt
Filed under: uncultured Eubacteriales bacterium
Lineage: Bacteria; Bacillati; Bacillota; Clostridia; Eubacteriales
Description: uncultured Clostridiales bacterium partial 16S ribosomal RNA
Rfam family: Bacterial small subunit ribosomal RNA
Source: RNAcentral